This 3907-nucleotide unclassified non-coding RNA is filed under the name Leishmania donovani. Its description in RNAcentral is "gene:LdHU3.24.2100(CDS-product:NAD_dependent_epim erase/dehydratase_family/Male_sterility_protein_putative)". The record is from RNAcentral. Lineage: Eukaryota; Euglenozoa; Kinetoplastea; Trypanosomatida; Trypanosomatidae.
CAGCUCUUUUCUGUGUUUGCGUACCUGUUCAUCUUUCAUUUCUCCCCCUUCGUUUCUUCCUUAUUCGUAGCGGUGCGUCUUCCUCUGUCGCUUCUUCGCUCCCUCCCCCAUCUUCCCUUCACGUGCACCUCUCUUAGCAUAUUGUGUGAUGGUGUGCGUGCGUGUGUGGGGCGUGUACUCGACUUUGUUUCUCUUGCCUGUUCCUCAACCCCUUGCGCAAUCUCCUUCAUCAGUGUACCGCCGCGCAUAUUUUAUUGUUUCGCUGUUUUUCGGCGCGGCCCACCCCCCGAGCCCCCGCUUCUUCGGCUGCUUGUGUGUCUCGCACCCUUCUUUCAACCCUUCUCCCUCUUUCUCCCUUGCUAACCAGGGUGGUGCUGCCGCGCUCUCCCCGAGCGACACCCCUCUCCUCCCCUAGCUGACACGCCGAGAAGAGAGAGGUGACUGACACACACACACACACACACAGACACAGCCACAAGCACACAGGGGUGCUUGGAAAGAUACGCCGACAGCCACACAUCUUCCCUUUAGAAUCCAGGAACAGCCAACGGUUGCACGUCUUUGAUUACCGCAUUUUCUAUUCCAGCCGAGUGCCUUCCACACCCCCUCUCUUUCCUCUUUCUCUCGGCGCCUCCUAGUCCUUCCCCCUUCCCCUUGCUUGUGGCUUCGGUGGGCGACUGUAUCCCAGAGGCAUCACAGGAGCGAACCAGCCACCGCCACCGUUUCCUCAUCUCUCUUUCUCCUCCUUUGAGCAGAGCGAGGGGAAAAGAGGCGGGGGUAGUGCAUAACUAAGGUUUAUCUUAACUUUAUCCCUCCCUCAUUCUCUCUCGCUUUCGUCCAGCAUCCACCAUCCCCACUGCGGAAGGGGUCACUAUGUCUCUCGACAUCCGCGCCGGUUUUUCCAACCGCACGGUGUUCGUCACUGGCGGUACAGGCCUUGUGGGAAAGGUGCUGUUGUACAAGAUUCUCAAGGAGUUCCCUGAUGUGAAGCGCGUCUACCUACUCAUGCGCGGCAAACGCUCUCGCCGGCUGAAGAAGUACCUGAACGCGCAGGAGCGGCUAGACCUCGAGGUGCUCGGAUCCCCCUGCUUUGAGCCGCUACGUCAGCAAUUCGGCGACGUCAAGUGGCAGGAGCUGUGCCAGAAGGUGAAGGCGAUCCAGGGUGACAUCACCCUCGACCACGUCGGCCUCUCUGAGGAGGACCGCGCGACACUGGCGAACGAGGUGAAUUUCAUCGUUCACCUCGCCGCAACCGUCAACUUUAAUGAACGGCUGGAUCUGGCGUUGCAGAUGAACACAUUGGGUGGGUUGCGUGUGCUGGCACUGGCGAAGACGUGCCGCCACCUCCAGGCAAUGGUGCAUGUCUCGACGUGCUACGUCAACUACCGUCGCAAGGGCCGCCACUUUGUGAACGAGGAGCGCCUCUACCCGCUGGGAUUCGAUCCAGAAGAGAUGUGCAAGCGCGUGCUGGCGAUGAACUCCAAUGAAGUGGCGAUAGAGUCAGCGGCGCUGCUAAAGGAGCACAACUUCCCAAACACGUACACUUUCUCCAAGUGCAUUGGCGAGCAGCUCAUCUACAAGUACAAGGAGUCCGUCCCCAUCGUUAUCGUUCGCCCGUCCAUUAUCGGCUGCAGCUACUGUGACCCGUUCCCCGGCUGGGUGGAUGCUCUGACAGCCGCGGGUGGUCUGCUGCUCACUGUGUCCCUGGGCGUGGUGCGCGAGGUGCUGUGUGACAAGGACCUCAUCGCCGACGUCAUUCCGGUGGACUACGUCGUGAACAUUAUACUCAAGGCGCUAUUCAAGACCCAGCAGCACUACAAGGCGCGCCGCCUGCGCGCGGCUGCGACGGAGUCGGGCGAGGCUGGGACGCCAGCGCAGGCGGCCGCUGGUGCGGUGCGCAGCAGCGCAGUGCCUGUGUCUGUGGAUGCCAAGGCGGGUGCAGGUGGCAUGAACGUGGAGACGGGCAGCGCCGUGGCGGCGGAAACGAGCACCCUUUCUCUUGUCGAGUCGCCAGCGACGGACGACUUGGCCGGCAGUGGGACGACGGAGGCGGACGAGGGCCUACCCUUCAUCUACCAGGCGGCGACGUCUUCCUCGGAGAAUCGUGCGACAUGGGGCCGCGUGCACACGUCGCUGGUGGACUUCAUGAGGGGCAAGCGCCACCCGAAGGGGCUUUCCUCGAUGAAGGUGACCUUGACGACCAACCAGCAGUACUACCGCAUCCGCUACUAUCUGCUGCGCUACAUGCCGUACAUCGCACUCCGCUCCAUGAUGCAGCUGCCGCCGCCGAUCGGAUCGCCAAAGAAGCUUGAGCUCGUGAAGAAAUUGGGCCGCGCGGUGCGGCGCGCCGACCUGCUCACGUGGGAGUUCCUCGACUUCACGCUGAACGAGUGGAUAUACGCCUUCGUCAACGCGAGCCGCCUCGAUGACGGGCUUAACGAAUACUCCCGCAAGACCUUCAGCUUCGACCCAUAUUCUAUCAACUGGUACGCCUACACGCAGGUGUAUGCCUAUGGCAUCUUCAAGCACAUAAUCCGAGAGACGGGCGACUUCCAAAUACCCAAGCUCCCGCCGUCGGCCACGGAGGUGUUUGAGCGUGCGUCCUCCCUAUAAGGGCGAUCACAAGGGAUGCGUUUGACACUGCCAACCACUCCACACCCCCUCCCCCUUUUUCCCGCUCCUCUCCUCCCCCUCUGUGAUGUUCGAUUCCCGAGUUCCUUGACAAGACGUGCGAUGUGGCGGCUUGGCUUUGUUGUGGCGAAUCAAACCUCCCUCGGGUGUUGUGACGUGGUUUGACUGUGGUGGCGCGUAGAUGCUCCCUUUUUCUUUCCGACCCCUCCCCCUUUUCCCUCCUCCUCUUGUACCGUUUGCUGCUUCGACCCAUAAACGUGCGUGUCUCUGUGCCUCUUGGUGGCUUGCGGUGUGACGGGGUCUGGUCUCCCUUUCUUUUCCUUCUAUGUAGCUCUCCCUUUUCCUCAAACCCCUCCAUCUCUCCUCCUCUUGCUUCUUGUUUCGAGUACUGAUCUUUUCUUCGGCCCUCUCCUUAACGUGGGGCCGCAGAGAAUCGGUGGAUGUGCGUGUCCGUUGUUGAGUUGUUGCGUUUUCUUCGUUUUGUAUUUGUUCGCAAGCGCGUUCAUUUCUAUGCCAUAGAAGAUGAGUUUAGCGCCACGCUACGCCCCCCCCUCUCCUCCUUCCCCCCCACCGGCCCUGCCACAGGUCCCCAUCGCGUGGUGCGAAGCGGCCGUAGACACACGCGCUACAGCAAUGCACCGACUCGAUCAUCGGAGCGCAGCCCCAGGCUCAAACUAUACCCGCCACCCCGCCGCCUCACAGCCGCUUCCCCAUCAUGCCGCUCGCCACCUGGCGCAUCGCUUGGGAUGGCCCAGGCUCACCCACCAGCGGGCAGCGAGGGCCGGCUGAGAUGCGGUCGAGUCGUGCUGACACUCUGUCCAUCAUGUGGAUGGCACAAGCGAGUGCACUGUCGCACGUCGCUCCGAUGCCACGCCAUCCAGGACCUGACCGCCGGCAUCAGUGGCGAUAAAUCCCUCUGACUUUUCCUUACAUUGUAGGCACCUGACCCUGCCACCCACCAGAGGUGGUUUGACAUUGACAGGGGUAGUGGAGGUGCCCGGCUUCCCCACUCAGAGUGGGGGGUACUAGGCCCUGAUGCCACGCUGAGGUGUGUCCCCCAUCAUCGAAGGUGGGGGGGGACGUGGAAAAGAUAUAUGAGAGGUAUGGCGACGCUCACGACAGCAGUCGUCGCAAACUGGGAAGAAAAAGGAAUACGUGUACAAUCUCCCUCCCCCCUCCCAAGCUGCAUUUGAGAUCUACGGCAACCAUCACGAAAAGAUGGUGCUUCUCCCUCACAUACCUCCCCAUUACGCCUCGCUCGCUCUCUUUCUGUUAG